CAAGUCAUUUCAUAACUGCUGACACACGAUUUCUUGCACCUCCCUUUGAAGUGUCUGGUACUGGCCACUUUUGGAGACAGGAUACACUCUCACACAAAUAGUCCCCCUGAAGUCUAAUGUCACACCAAUAAGCAGUAAUAGAACAUACAUUAUUAUAGUGAAUCAAAUCUAAUCCUAGGUGUAUUACUGAUCAACCCAGAAAAGAAUAAGGAGAAGAAAGAGUGGAAGCAAGCAGUGGGAUCUACAACUGCCACUCACGUUGGUCAGUGUUUUCAGUGUCCCUUGUCACGUGAUCAUUCAUAGUAGUGGAAUGGAAGUUGGAAGAGGAGUUAUUGCGACCUGAGGGAAAGCUCCAUGACAGAUGGAAGAAGCUAGUCUGAGAGAAAAGAACAAUCAGUCAUUUCAGAGCCACCGAAUCAAGCGGUAAAGAGAAGGAAGUUGUUGCUAGAAGCUUUACAAAGAGGGUUUCUGUAGCUUACCAGUCCUGCUCCUGCUGAGGUCUGAGAAGAUUCUGGAGUUGCCAUACAGAACCCCACAGAUGACUGCUGAAAACUCCUAAGACUGAUCUGGGGAGAAGGCCUGGGACCCAGACUGAGAAAGGUCAGCCUGCGAAGGGUAUACCUGGAGAUUUAAGCUGCAAGCAGUGCAGAGUUUCUUGAAGGUAAACUGCAACCUGCAUAAAACAACA
Long non-coding RNA from Mauremys mutica (yellowpond turtle), 688 nucleotides. RefSeq lists it as uncharacterized. NCBI's taxonomy places the organism in Eukaryota, Metazoa, Chordata, Testudines, Geoemydidae. The record is from RefSeq and is a predicted model, not a curated record. The transcript is spliced from 3 exons.